Pongo pygmaeus (Bornean orangutan) is the source of this 8013-nucleotide RNA transcript. RefSeq lists it as uncharacterized. NCBI's taxonomy places the organism in Eukaryota, Metazoa, Chordata, Mammalia, Primates, Hominidae. The transcript has 4 exons. The record is from RefSeq and is a predicted model, not a curated record.
GGGAGCAUGCCGCCUUGUUACUGCCAGAUAUGGAUAGAAGUAGCUCCUGCUCUUCAAUGAACCUCCAUUGGUUUCUGCUACCAAACUGACCUCCACUGAUAUCGUCCUGGCUAGAAAAAAUGGAGUAGUUUGUUGCUGCUCUUAUUGUGAUCUUCACCAGUACUUUAGAAGUUGAGGGAUAGCAGGGUAGCCUCAUUACAGCUGGACAGUUUCAAAUGUUCUCCAUCUCCACCAAACCUCCUUUCAUACUACCUCAGUGGAGAGGGAGAUGGAUACCUCAUUAUUGUUGAGUUUGGGGUGGAAGUCCAGACUGCCCAUUUAGUCAACAUAGACACUGCAUGUAAGGUAAGAGAAGAAUCUUGCUAACCCCCGGCAGGGAUGAAACUCCUAGAUUCCUGCUCAGACUUCUUUUACACUACUCUGGGCGCUGGAAGUAGAGGGUGUUGGAAUACCCUGGCAAGGAUCAGCAUCUGGGCUUGCCACUUUGCCUUUGCAGGUGUACAUGGGGAUGGGACCAUAAUUCUUUUUGUGGUGUUCAACGAGAGCAAAAUGGUAUUGCUUUCUGUCUUUCUAGGCUGCCCCUUUCUUGUUCCUUUGACUAGAGAGAACAGCCUUUUGUUGGAACUUUGUUUUUUGGUCUGAACCAGUUGGCAUUUCUGGGUUGCAGGCUUCUUCAGCUCUGAAGUUUUGAUGUAUAAGGUAAAAAUUUAAAAUCCAUGUCAUUCCUUGAGUCCUUCAGUCUCUAGCUAGUUUUUCACCUUCUCUCAGCUUUUCAGAGUCUCUUUAAAUUUCUUAGAUGUGUAAUGCGGAGGGAUUUUAGUUGUACCUAGAAGGGGGAUUAGAAAAAACUAUGUCUACUCCAGCUUUCUAGAAGUGAAAGUCUCCCAUUACUUUGCUUCUUUUUAAAAAUUGUUUUUAAUUGGGAAGACAGCAUACAAUUUUCACAUCAGAUUCUUUCAGGAAGUUCAACAGAAUUAUACAAAACUAAUCAUGAAUUUAGUAUUAAAAAGGAAACCUUCAGACAGAGAAAAUGUCUCUAAUUUAUUUUUUAAUAUCCAUUUUACUUCCACUUUGAAAUAUCCAUCGGUUUGUUUCUUGACAAGUUUGUCUCUUUUAGGACCUGCAACAUCUCUGUUUAGUAGUGAGCUUUUCUCAUUUAAAAGUACUUACUGAAUGACUCCCACAUGGGAGUCACGUCAAUUUCCUUCAUUGAUGCUCCCCUAUGCCUAUCAGAAGGACUGGCACAUACUAGGACUUAAUAAAUAAUCUGCUGAAUAAGUGAAUGAGAACUGGAAAUUUAAAUUUUUAUGUCAAUGAAUGUGUCAUCUACUUUCUUGUUUUGCUGAAUCAUGGGGCUUAAGUUUCUGCCAAGCACUCUUUAAAUAUGUGCUUAGGACACUAGCAGAUUUGUCCAGAAUUUUGCAACCUAGAAAAAAAGCAAUUUUAAUUUUAGCCCAUGUGUAAAUUUUUAGUUUAUGGUUUAGAAUUGCAUUAUUUUGAAUUACAAAUGGGGAGGACGACAUGAUGGUUCUCACGUGUGUGUAUGUGUGUACGCACAUUCACUCCUAUCGUUGCUAAAGAAAGUCACCUGAAGGACAUGGCACAAAAACAACUGCAAACCAUUUUUAUUUCUGUUUCCUAGAUGCCUGAAUCUUUUUUCAGAUUUUUUUCUAUUAGACAAGUCACAGUUUGAUUAUCUUUGAAAGUCAUUGCUAUGUAUUGUGCAGUGUGUGUGUUUAUACAUGGAAAAGGGGCAACAUUAAUCCAUCAUUUGGGGAAGACACUGAAUAUAAUGUUAAAUUUUUUGCAAACAAUCAUACUUUAGAUAAAGAUUCUCCAAUUAUUGCAACAUUUUAAAAAAAUAAAGUUAAAGGACAUGGUUCUUUUUAGUGCCACUCAGUAUGUUUGGUUUCAGUACUAAUAAUGCUUGCUUUCCUGUUUGGCUUUAAAUUCUGCUUAAGGAAAUUGUGAAAAAUUUAAUUCACUCUACUUUUAUUAGAAAGUAUAGAAAUGUUCGUGCAUGGGAUUCAUUGCCUGCUAGAAUGGAAAUUCAUUGGGGAGGGGAACCAUUUCAUUUUACUACCUAAGAGCUGUUGACACAGUCCCUGCAUCUUUCAAAGGCAUCUUUCAUGCCACACGGGCAAACUGUAGCCAGCGAAGAAACAGAAAGAGCCCUUCUCACAUAUGUCAAUCUCAGAAAACUUGCAUAGCAGCUGUGCUAGGUACUGAUGAGGAUUACUAUAGACCCAGUUGCGGGGUUUUAUGUGGAUAAAGAGACAACUGGCUUUCUCAGGGGAGCACUUUGUUGGAGAUUGCAGCAAUAGUGCAUCCCCACUGUUGCUAGAAGACACUGACCAUGUAGUACAAAAUCAGUGCCAGAUAAAAUCAGAAAGUAACAAAAAGCAAGAAGAAAACCCGGAGUUUUUUUAAAUCUUAAAGUGAGAGACGAAAACAAAUGUUCUGGGCUUGUUUCAUUCACUUGUAAGGAAAAGGAGACAGACGAAGGGAUGCCUUUAACUCAGAAAACUUGAAGGGCUUUCAGUCUUUUCAUUUGAGAACCAUUUGGGUGUGUUGAGAAAAAAAGUUGCAGAGUAGGCAUGUUCAGACCUUUAUUUGCUACAUUUGGUAGGAAAGAUUUUUUUUUUCCCCUCUUAACUACAAGAAGCCAGAGUUUUCUGUGCAAACGAAACAGGCGUUGCAAGAAUCAGAUUCACUUUGGACGACUCUUCACAUUCCAAGUCAUCAUUGCGUUAGGCAGCACAAUUCCAUCUCUGGUUGAUGGGCAGAAAAAGUGGGCAGCUUGCCAGGUAGACGUUUCCAUGACUCCCAGCCCCCAAAGGUGAUGCGUUUUUCAGCUAAUUCAAUGAAGAGUGGGCUGAACUUUGGGUCUAAACGAGACAAUAGCUGCCUUCGCAGUAUCAGCAGAAUGGUUGAUGGGAGUGCACUCUACAUUUGGCAGAGAAUCAUGUGACCUUACGACUGAGAUUUUGUGAUGGUGCCAACGGAGACUUGGAAAGCAGCAACCGUCCUGACUUUUUUCUUCUUCUCUAACGUGGCUCAGAAAAUGGUGGAUCUUAAUACUUGACUUUAGCCAGACUCAGCAAGCGACUGAGCUUUGAAGCACAACUUCGCCUUUAUGCUGGGUUUUUGGCAGGCCACCAGGAGGCUGUCCCUUUCACGCCUGAUAAAUUCUGCUGCUUAUCUCUAAAUAGAAAAAAAAAGAAAAAAGAAAAUAAUAAUAGAAUAUUGAGGCAUAACAAGUGAAUUCUAAAAUUGUAUGUGCUUUUUGUUUUUUUGCCUUUUCUGACUGGUGAUUUGUAUUUUUAUUUUAUUUAUUUAUUUAUUUUUUAGGUUACUACCCUUUCUGCUUGUAGAAGAAUCCAAGUAGUUGGGUCUUUUUUUUUUUUUUUUUUGGUUUAUAAUGAACAGGCAUUUGAACUGGGCAAACAGGACGACAGCAGCAGUGAGCAUGAGAUCAUUGCAUUGCAGCAGUGUAGCAAACUGGCACCUUGCCUUUGCACCCCUUUGGUUCAGGAGACAAACGUGUGCAAUCCUCAUUUCUAAAGUCAGCACAGCCUGGAAGGAUUCCUGGUCUCUCCCACCUUCUACCAUUCUGCUGCCAGUGACGGCAAGGAUUGGUGUAGCUUCUGCGCAGUGCUUUGUGCCUGGAAUACCGAGAAGGAAGAAAAAGAAGACGAGCACCCUGGUCCUUUUCUCAGAAAUUACAGGCGCCCUUGAAGAAAAAAUCUGAGUGUGUCCUACUACAUGCAAGAGUGCUGAAAAAAAAAAAAAAAAAAGAGACGCUCCUGCUCAAAAACAAAAACAAAAGCAAACAAACAAAAAUCCAAACCAAAACAAACCAAAAAAAGCAAACAUUGGCUGUAUAACUACAGAGACAUCGGGCUUUGUAAAUCAGCUUUUUAAGUCAACAUAACCAAAUGAGCCUUCUUUAUUUUUAUUAUUUCAAACCAUAUGGCAUAAUUAGCAAUAUAUUGCACUUGGUGAAAUCGCACCUUUCAUAUCAGGGAAAAACUUAAAAUGGAUAUGAAAAGUGAAGAAAGUGAUCAUAGGAGAAAACCAUUUCAGGUGUCUGAUGAUUUGUGAGCCUCAAGUGACUACUCUGUGGAAUCACCUGUCCUUGCCUUUGAAUUAGCUUUCCGUAGGCCAUGAGUCAACAUUAGUAGUUUAUACAUCCAAAUUGAUGACAAGAGCACCUCAAAGGCAGCAGCCUCAAGGAGCAGCCAUGGCCCCAGAGUUGUCCCACGGAUGCAGAAAACUUAAUGGAGGAGGCUGAGGUCAGAAUGGGAAGAGUUUUUAAAAAGUAAAAAGGGGAGCUAAUAUGUGAGGAACUGAUUGCUGUGCAUUAUUUUCCGCUGAACAGACCACAGACCUUCUUUUAACUUCUAAUCUCAAGCACAUAGCAGCUGUUGUUUUCAUAUUAAAGAUCAGUAAGUGUUUGUUGAAUGAAUGUAUAAAUUCUUCCCCAAUCUCUGUUCCAUGUAAUAAGAACUAAGUUAGCAUUCAAUUAUAAAGAGGACUUAGAAAGUCUGCAGGCAUUUUUGAUCAAAAAUCCUUUUAACUGCCUUCUCAUGGUUCCCGGUAACACCUAAGCCCAAAAAACUCAGGUCAUUUCUUGCCUGUACUGUUGCAAUAGCCUCAUAAUAACUAGUCUUCUCCUUUAUCAACCACAGUCGUCUCCACUACACAAAGAAGAGAGGGUGCUAAUCUAAAGUGUAAAUUAUUUUAAAUCAGCACCCUCCUCGUAAUUUCCCAGUGGUUUUUCCUGUCAUAAGAAUAACAUGCAAAAUUCCUUGCUUGCAAAGCCAGGUAUGACCUUGCCCCGUCUACCUUACUGGCAUCGUCUCUCAUGACUCUUCCCCUUUCUCACUCUCCAUCUUGCCUUUUCCCAACCAUGCCUGCUAGUGAGCCUUAGCCCUUGUGUUCUCUCUGCCAGGGAUGCAUGACUGGCUUCUUUACUUUAUUCUGAUCUCUCUGCUCAAAUGUCAUCUUUUUAGAGAUACCUUUCCUAAACAUCUUUAAAAGUACCCCAUUAACUGUGGAACACCUUUCCUGUUUUAAGUUUUCUUCAUAGUACUUAUCACUUCCUGAUAUUAUGUUAGACAACAAGCAAAUAAGUAUAUGCAUAUAUGCUGUUCCCAGUAAAAUAUAAGCUCCGUUUGAACAGGAGCCUUGAUUAUUCCUGAGUAUACCCAUAGUGCCCAGAACCUAGUAGGGCUUUAAUAAAUAUUGGGGCUUUAAUAAAUAUUAGAUUCAUUUGUUGAAUGAAAAAAUAAAUGAAUACCUUGAAUAAAGAUAUCCAGGUAGAGUGUCUGGGCAGCCCAACCUAUGUGAAGCCAGUACAAGAAUGUUUCUGUGACAUAAUGAAUGCAAUUAUUCCUCUAAAUGAUGAACUUGCAUGAGUACACGAGGAUAAAAUUAAGCACGUAGUUUAGAUUUCUGCAAGUCUCUUCCUCAGAUUGAGGAAAAACAAAGAAAUUGAGCUUAUUCUCACCUCAUUCUUACAUGAACUAAAUCCAGAAUAAAGCACCAUUUAUAUACCAAGCACAUCCCUACCUCAGCCACUCAUGGAAUACUUUAUCUGUAAAGGGACAGAUAGUAAAUAUUUUUGGCUUUGGGGACCGUACAGUCUGUGUCGCCACUACUCAGCACUUCUGUUGAGGUGUGGAAUCAGCCCUAGACAACACAUAAACAAAUGGGUGUGGCUGUGUUCCAAUAAAAUGUUAUUUAUAAAACUAGGAAAUCAGCAGAUUUAGCCCACAGGCUGUAGUUUGCUGACCCUUGAAUUAGAGAGUCUUCCCCAAAUCCUCUUCCCAAGUUAUUGAAAGUAUGCCCAUAGGACCAUGGCUCCCUCACCUGGUUCUUUCGAGAAAUGAGACAAAUUCAGGGAUGGUUGGAGGGUGGAACACCUACAUGUGACAUGACUAUUGAGCCCAAUUUCUUUCCUUUUAUCUCUUUAAAGUGAGUCAGGUCUUAACAUUAAACUGUCUCUAAAGUAGCAAUAACUGGGCCUUGUCAGAUACUCCCAAUGACAAAAUUUCUUCUUGGAGAAUGAAUGAGGGUUGCAUACAGCAAUGUGUUGGUAAGUGUUUAGCAACUGGCUCUCUUACUGAUUUCUGUAGUGUAAAUUCUCCCAUCCUGGCCAUCUGAAACUACCAAUAUGAUGUCACUUAAUGUAGAGUUGGGAAAAGACAGUCUCUUGAAUCAGUAUGAGCUGGUUCCAGGCCACUGCUGAACACAUAUUUAAAAGCUACAAUAGCUCUGCUCGCUGCCAUUGCAGAGUCUGAAGGAAAGAGUAGUGGGCUUGAUAGGAGCAAUUGGCUGGAUAAUCUUUUGCAAUGCCAACAAAUAAUGAAAAAGCAUAUAAAUAUAAUGCUGUAUAGAAAGCUCUCAAGUUCAGUGUUUGGUUAAAAUACAUACUCAGUAAAUGGUAGCUAUUAUCAUCUUAGUUUAAGUUAUUGCAAGCAUUAAAAUUAAAUGUUUAGCUACAGACUCAAUCCAAUUUUAAUGUCAUUGUGUUAAUAAGGCCUCUUAACAUUGAAGCAAGAAAGAUAAAGGAAUUUUUUUGUAGCUAUUCACGAUUCUGCCCAGCUCAAGGUAAAGAUAGCAACAAAAUACUCCAACCAGAAUAAAAGAAGUCUCCACUUGACUGCAGCUCUUCACAACACUUCACAAGGGUCAAGCUGUGUUAGUGUCCUUCAGUGUUAAACAGAAUUCGUCUUAAGAGAAUAGUUCAAUCAUUGAUUGAAUAGUAGGUUCAAGUUGACUAUAAUCCCAACUAAUACACUCUAAGACCAGGGAUGGGCCAACAGAAGGGUAAAGUUUUCCACUCAAGUCUCGAGGCAAACACUCAGAUAGAAGUAGUAAUAUGGAUGCCUUCUAUUAUUUGGUCACAUACAAUACUGCUCCAGGCCAGUUGUGCAAAACUGGUGAAAUAAAAGGCAAAAAUAUUGACAACAGUUUGGGUAACUGGAUUCCAAAAUGGGCAUCCAUCUAACAGAAAUUAAUGAAAAAAAAGUAUAUGGACCUUGAAAGACAUUAACACACAGUUUAGGUUUGAACACUCAGUUUUUGCUAGAAAAGACUAACAUAUGCUGUUUUGAAUACUACAAAAGUGCUUUCUGAAUCAUUUACUCUCAAACCUCCUCCACGCAUUCCCCUCCAUCUAUAACGCUUUCUGCACAUCUGUAAGAGGUAUGACUUAGUGUUUGGUCUGUGAAAUAAAGUUAAAAAGGAAGCAUUUCUCUUUACAUUCUAGCUAAUGUUGAUAUUUUUCUCAUGCUUCUAUUAGCACAUAAUUCAGAUACAUUAGUUUUGAAGUUUUGAAUCUGCUCUGUUUCUUGAGGGCUCUCUGUUCUAGAUCAACAUUAUCUGUGGAACACCAGACAAGUCCUGGGCAGAAUCCUCCCCGUUGUCCAAAUAUUACUGAAUCAGUUGAGUUUUCUCUGUUUUCAAUGAAUUAUUCCAUAUGUUUAUUUGCUGCAUUUUCUUUUGGCUUUCUGUUCACGGUAAAUAAUAGCUUUUGUUUUUAAAAACUUCUAUUAUGAAAAUUCCAGAUAUAUGCAAAUUAGAGAGAAUAGCAUAAUGAACCUCUAUGUGCUUAUCACACAUACAGGUUCAACUAAUUAAAUUAUAUCAAUUUAUGGCCAAUCUGGUUUCAUUUAUAACAUCAUUCACUCAUUCCUAACUCCCUGGAUUAUUUGAUUGAUAUAUGUUUCUAAAGUUCCUUUUAAUCUAUAGGUUCCCCCUCUCAUUUAAUCUUUUGCAACUUAUUUAUUGAUGAAACUGGGUUAUUUGUCCUUUAUUGUUUCUCUCAUUCUGAAAUAUGCUGUAAUGUUCUUCUUUCCUGUAUUUUCUGUAAGCUUUGAGCUAGGCAGAAAUAUUUUAAUCAGAUUCCUUUUUUUUUUCUUUUAGCAAGAUUUCUUCAUAAAUAAUAUUGUAUGCGUUCAUGAAAAUAGAAAUAAAAAUUGAAAUAAAAAAGAAAUAACAGAAAAA